UACAGAGGGGGCAAGCGUUAUUCGGAAUUAUUGGGCGUAAAGGGCGCGUAGGCGGCCUGGCAAGUGGAAGGUGAAAUCCCUCGGCUUAACCGAGGAACUGCCCUCCAAACUGCUUGGCUUGAGUCCGGGAGAGGUGAGUGGAAUUCCCAGUGUAGCGGUGAAAUGCGUAGAUAUUGGGAGGAACACCAGUGGCGAAGGCGGCUCACUGGACCGGAACUGACGCUGAGGCGCGAAAGCUAGGGGAGCAAACAGG
RNAcentral lists this ribosomal RNA (253 nucleotides) under uncultured bacterium. Its description in RNAcentral is "partial 16S ribosomal RNA". It matches the Rfam family "Bacterial small subunit ribosomal RNA", at positions 524 to 776 of the family's 1533-position model. The record is from RNAcentral.